UACAUCCCACUGCAACACUAGUGGAAUUCAUUGUUGCAAUCUGAUUCAGCUGCAUAUAUACUGUAUAAAAAUUUCAUAGCCUCAUGAGUAUGAGGCUUGCUCAUUACAACAAGGUGACCUUGCUAGAAAUAUGCCCUAUGACCUUUUUCUUUUCUUUUUGAAGUCAAAUAAAUAAAUAAAUACACCAAAAAUAAACAAACAACAAAUAAACAAACAGAGUAGUAGAACAAAUGUUGGAAUCAGUGGAACAAACUUACCCCUAGGUAAGGAUAUCCAGUGUGACAUAACUGAGAGGUAUAUUCAGAGGGCAAAAGACCUUUUCUGGUCUUCUGUUCUGAUUGUGAUACAUUCCUUUCCUGACAUAAGGUUGUGGACUAUAUUUGUUUCCCUCUGCCCUUUUAGUACCUAGGCUUGUUUUUAUCUCUGUCCCAGAAUCAGAGUUCAUGACACCACACAUUACAACUGAAUGAUACCACAUGACAUCUGAUCAUACAGCACACUGGGGCUGUUUCUCUGAUACUCUACAUUACACCUCCAGAUAUGCUUACAUUUUAAAAAUUUAUAUUUUAUUUUAUUUAUUUUUUAUUUUUAUUUUUUUACUGUGUCUUCAAUCUGAGCUGACUAAGCCCAAGUCAAGUUCAGGCUAUGGGUGGCAUCUGUUUUGGUGGCCUCACACUUUGAUCUGCACAAUAGAGCAGGUAAUAAACUGUUUUAGUACAUCUCUACCCUAUCCAGGAAGCUCAGAGGACAAUGAAGAGUGUCUUGAUCACAGUUCAUCUGAGGUAGAAGAUCACUUAGCUUUUCUUCACAGGACUGCAGCUGAGAUCCACCGCUCCCAGGAGAUGGUCGGUGAUACAAGGUAGAGAUUUCACCCCUGAAUACUGAAGAAAAGGAGAAGAAAGAAAAAGUCUGUUGGAGAAGUACCAAAUUACAUAUCGUUCAGAAGUGAAACAAUCUUUGCUGGUUUUAGAAAGCAGCUCUAUUGCAAAUAUCGUUGUGGUAUACGUUUACCCUCCUAGACUUCUUUUAUACCAUUUCCCUAGAAGGUAGCAAAACACACUGGUGCUUUGGAUAAAUAGAAACCCAGAACAGAUAGAAUAAGUAGCAUGGUCAUGGUUAUACAGAAGAUAUGUGGCUAAGCAGGAGCUUGAAUAAGGAUCUCAGCAUUACAGCUCUGCUAAUCUGAAUACCUCUGCUUUCUGCGACAGCAGACAGACAGGCAUCAAUGAAGUAAACUGGAGAUACAACAUAUUAAACAGAGUCUGCAUGGGCUCAAGCUAGGGAAAUCAAUUGCUUAAACUGUUGAAAGCAGAGAGAUAAUAUAGGCAAAAUCUUCACUUUAAUUAUUAACUGCUUUCAGCUUUUUAUUUUUUUUAUUUUUUUAUCAGAAUGGAGGAAAGGGGAAAAAAAAAAAGAAAAGAAAAAGAUUUAUCAGAACUGAGUGAUCAAAAAGAUUAUUUCUUUUUUUCUUCCUAAGAAAAGCUGCAACAAUUCUUCAUCAAUUAUAAACCAAGAAAGACAGGGGCAAGAAGAACACUUUGCAUGCAGGCCUCCCGCGCUUCCCCCCCUUCCCCCCUUCCUUUUCUGUCCCCCUCUCCCCCCCCCCCCCCCCCCCCCGUUCUUCCUUUGGUCUCUUUGCUCUUUUGCUCCUUCCUCAACCAAGAGCAGUUCUGCCACUGUGAAUACAUACCUGGUGUACAGCAAUGGUUCAUGGUUAGGUGAUUUUGAUCUGUGCUUUUUAUCUGGGGGGGGGGGGGCGGGGAAGGAGGCUGCGUGGUCUCCAUGCAGAUAUAGGAAGAACUUUCUGCUUCUGUGGUCUUUUGCCUCUGAGGGCAUACUACUAUGCCCAGCCUCUGGAACCAUGACACGCACACAAUUCACACCACUCAGUAUUGAGAUUUAAUGACCGAUAUUAAUAGUAGUCAGUUAAAAGGGAGGGAAAGUGUCUUUAAAGAUCUGAAGAUGAGUUCUCUUCCUUCUGCCUGCACCACGACUGCUUUCAAUUCUGCUGAGGAACUAGUCUACUCUUUCUCAGUCCAAACCUCCCUUUUCUUCUCUUUUCUUCCUUUUCUCCCUUUUCUUUCUUUUCUUUUGCUUUUGAGUUCUCAUUUCUUUUCUCUCUUUUUUUUUUUUUUUAUCUUCUACCUCUUUGUUCCUCUUCUCUGUGGACCUCACUGCAAAGAUCAGAUUUCUUUUGUUUUUGCCACUUUCAUUUUCACUUUCUAAAACUCAUUAUUUCUUUUGAUGACCAGCAUUCAUCCUUCUAAUAAUUCAGAUAUAAAGAAAGAGUAUGUAAAGAGAAUAGCUAAUAACUUCCCCUCAUAAUGUUUCAGUCUGCAAUAGGAGCUGACAUCCUCAUGAGGGCAUGGUAACAAGUUUUGGAGAAACUUGUGAGGGACCUGCCAUGGAAAUUAACAGGAAAGAUGGUAGCCACAAAGAAAAGAAAAACAAAUUCUUCCCUGGGCUGGUGACAGCCCCUUAACUCAUUUGUGUUUUCUUCUCAAAGGCACAACUGAAAAAAGCCUACAGAUGGGAAAAUGGGAUGCAAGGAUUGAUGUUUGAAUAUCAUGAAAAUGGACCAGAUCCUCAGCUGGCAUAAAUCAACACAGCCCCACAGGAAUCAAUGCAGCAAUGCCAAUUUACACCACAUGAAGACCCAGCCCAAUAAAUCUAUCAUGCUCUGGAUAAAGGGGUGAAUG
RNAcentral lists this long non-coding RNA (2699 nucleotides) under Anas platyrhynchos platyrhynchos (common mallard). RNAcentral describes it as "lncRNA (ENSAPLG00000018375.1)". Lineage: Eukaryota; Metazoa; Chordata; Aves; Anseriformes; Anatidae. The record is from RNAcentral.